This 377-nucleotide ribosomal RNA is filed under the name uncultured bacterium. RNAcentral's name for it is "bacterial SSU rRNA". It matches the Rfam family "Bacterial small subunit ribosomal RNA", at positions 29 to 417 of the family's 1533-position model. The record is from RNAcentral.
AACGAACGCUUGCGGCGCGCCUAAUACAUGCAAGUCGAACGCUGUAGCAAUACAGAGUGGCGCACGGGUGAGUAACACGUGGAUAAUCUGCCCUUCAGUGGGGAAUAACUAACCGAAAGGUUAGCUAAUACCGCAUGAGACCACGGCCUCCGAGGAAGCUGAGGCUAAAGAUUUAUCGCUGAAGGAUGAGUCUGCGAGGGAUUAGCUAGUUGGUGGGGUAACGGCCUACCAAGGCGACGAUCUCUAACAGGUCUGAGAGGAUGACCUGUCACACUGGAACUGAGACACGGUCCAGACUCCUACGGGAGGCAGCAGUAGGGAAUAUUGCGCAAUGGGCGAAAGCCUGACGCAGCGACGCCGCGUGGGGAUGACGGCCU